UCGUAGGGACCCGUCCCUAUUGAGAUAGCACCCUUUGUUUAUGAGUACCACCCGUUUCCUCGGCAGGUCCGCCUGCCGCCAGGACCCCACCAAACCCAUUGUCGUAGCAGUGCCAUCAGAAACAUAAACUAUUUA
This 135-nucleotide unclassified non-coding RNA is filed under the name uncultured Pleosporales. Its description in RNAcentral is "sequence contains ITS1". Lineage: Eukaryota; Fungi; Ascomycota; Dothideomycetes; Pleosporales. The record is from RNAcentral.